UGCAGUCGAGGGGUAACAUUGUAGCUUGCUACAGAUGACGACCGGCGAACGGGUGCGUAACGCGUAUAGAAUCUGCCUUGUACAUGAGGAUAGCCUUUAGAAAUGAAGAUUAAUACUCCAUAAUGCUAAUAUGUGGCAUCACAAAUUAGUUAAAGAUUUAUCGGUACAAGAUGACUAUGCGUCCUAUUAGCUAGAUGGUAAGGUAACGGCUUACCAUGGCAACGAUAGGUAGGGGGUCUGAGAGGAUUAUCCCCCACACUGGUACUGAGACACGGACCAGACUCCUACGGGAGGCAGCAGUGAGGAAUAUUGGUCAAUGGAGGCAACUCUGAACCAGCCAUGCCGCGUGCAGGAUGACUGCCCUAUGGGUUGUAAACUGCUUUUAUACAGGAAGAAACUUAGCUACGUGUAGUUAACUGACGGUACUGUAAGAAUAAGGACCGGCUAACUCCGUGCCAGCAGCCGCGGUAAUACGGAGGGUCCAAGCGUUAUCCGGAAUCAUUGGGUUUAAAGGGUCCGCAGGCGGUCAAUUAAGUCAGAGGUGAAAUCCCAUAGCUUAACUAUGGAACUGCCUUUGAUACUGGUUGACUUGAGUUAUACGGAAGUAGAUAGAAUAAGUAGUGUAGCGGUGAAAUGCAUAGAUAUACUUAGGAAUACCGAUGCGAAGGCAGUCUACUACGUAUAUACUGACGCUCAUGACGAAAGCGUGGGGAG
RNAcentral lists this ribosomal RNA (714 nucleotides) under Tenacibaculum sp. RNAcentral's name for it is "bacterial SSU rRNA". It matches the Rfam family "Bacterial small subunit ribosomal RNA", at positions 56 to 768 of the family's 1533-position model. Lineage: Bacteria; Pseudomonadati; Bacteroidota; Flavobacteriia; Flavobacteriales; Flavobacteriaceae. The record is from RNAcentral.